This 1427-nucleotide ribosomal RNA is filed under the name uncultured bacterium. RNAcentral describes it as "bacterial SSU rRNA". It matches the Rfam family "Bacterial small subunit ribosomal RNA". The record is from RNAcentral.
AGAGUUUGAUCCUGGCUCAGGAUGAACGCUGGCGGCGUGCCUAACACAUGCAAGUCGAACGAAACUUCUUUAUCACCGAGUGCUUGCACUCACCGAUAAAGAGUUGAGUGGCGAACGGGUGAGUAACACGUGGGCAACCUGCCCAAAAGAGGGGGAUAACACUUGGAAACAGGUGCUAAUACCGCAUAACCAUGGUUACCGCAUGGUAACUAUGUAAAAGGUGGCUAUGCUACCGCUUUUGGAUGGGCCCGCGGCGCAUUAGCUAGUUGGUGAGGUAAAGGCUUACCAAGGCGAUGAUGCGUAGCCGAACUGAGAGGUUGAUCGGCCACAUUGGGACUGAGACACGGCCCAAACUCCUACGGGAGGCAGCAGUAGGGAAUCUUCCACAAUGGGCGAAAGCCUGAUGGAGCAACGCCGCGUGGGUGAAGAAGGUCUUCGGAUCGUAAAACCCUGUUGUUAGAGAAGAAAGUGCGUGAGAGUAACUGUUCACGUUUCGACGGUAUCUAACCAGAAAGCCACGGCUAACUACGUGCCAGCAGCCGCGGUAAUACGUAGGUGGCAAGCGUUAUCCGGAUUUAUUGGGCGUAAAGGGUGCGCAGGCGGUCCUGCAAGUCUGGAGUGAAACGCAUGAGCUCAACUCAUGCAUGGCUUUGGAAACUGGAGGACUGGAGAGCAGGAGAGGGCGGUGGAACUCCAUGUGUAGCGGUAAAAUGCGUAGAUAUAUGGAAGAACACCAGUGGCGAAGGCGGCCGCCUGGCCUGUUGCUGACGCUGAGGCACGAAAGCGUGGGGAGCAAAUAGGAUUAGAUACCCUAGUAGUCCACGCCGUAAACGAUGAGGACCAAGUGUUUGGGGGGUGAAACCUCAGUGCUGAAGUUUACGGCAGUGAAGUCUCCGCCUGGGGAGUUAUGCACCGCCAGUGUGAAAACUCAAAGGAAUUGACGGGGACCCGCUCAAGGCGGUGGAGUAUAUGGUUUAAUUAGAAGCAACGCGAAGAACCUAACCAGGCAUUGACAAUGGGAUGCGAAGAUGCAGAGAUGGAUCGGAGAAAAAACAUCCACACAGGUGGUGCAUGGUUGUUGUCAGCUCGUGUCGUGAGAUGUUGGGUCAAGUCCCGCAACGAGAGCAACCCUUGUGGCAUGUUGAUAACAGGAAAAGCUGAGGACUCAUGCCAGACUGCCGGUGACAAACCGGAGGAAGGCGGGGAUGACGUCAAAUCAUCAUGCCCCUUAUGGCCUGGGCUACACACGUACUACAAUGGCGGCUACAAAGAGCAGCGAGACAGGGAUGUCGAGCGAAUCUCAUAAAAGCCGUCCCAGUUCGGAUUGGAGGCUGCAACCCGCCUCCAUGAAGUUGGAAUCGCUAGUAAUCGCGGAUCAGCAUGCCGCGGUGAAUACGUUCCCGGGCCUUGUACACACCGCCCGUCAA